GAGUUUGAUCGUGGCUCAGAUUGAACGCUGGCGGCAUGCCUUACACAUGCAAGUCGAACGGUAACAGGUCUUCGGAUGCUGACGAGUGGCGAACGGGUGAGUAAUACAUCGGAACGUGCCCGAUCGUGGGGGAUAACGAAGCGAAAGCUUUGCUAAUACCGCAUACGAUCUACGGAUGAAGCAGGGACCGCAAGGCCUUGCGCGAACGGAGCGGCCGAUGGCAGAUUAGGUAGUUGGUGGGAUAAAAGACUUACCAAGCCGACGAUCUGUAGCUGGUCUGAGAGGACGACCAGCCACACUGGGACUGAGACACGACCCAGACUCCUACGGGAGGCAGCAGUGGGGAAUUUUGGACAAUGGGCGAAAGCCUGAUCCAGCCAUGCCGCGUGCAGGAUGAAGGCCUUCGGUUGUAACUGCUUUGUACGG
RNAcentral lists this ribosomal RNA (426 nucleotides) under uncultured microorganism. RNAcentral describes it as "bacterial SSU rRNA". It matches the Rfam family "Bacterial small subunit ribosomal RNA", at positions 9 to 442 of the family's 1533-position model. The record is from RNAcentral.